GACGAACGCUGGCGGCGUGCUUAACACAUGCAAGUCGAGCGGUAAGGCCCUUUCGGGGGUACACGAGCGGCGAACGGGUGCGUAAUACAUGGGAAUCUGCCUUUUAGUGGGGAAUAACCCGGCGAAAGCCGGGCUAAUGCCGCAUAAGAUCUUCGGAUGAAAGCGGGGGAUCGUAAGACCUCGCGCUGAUAGAUGAGCCCAUGCCGGAUUAGCUAGUUGGUGAGGUAACGGCUCACCAAGGCGACGAUCCGUAGCUGGUCUGAGAGGACGGCCAGCCACACUGGGACUGAGACACGGCCCAGACUCCUACGGGAGGCAGCAGUGGGGAAUCUUGCGCAAUGGGCGAAAGCCUGACGCAGCGACGCCGCGUGA
This 372-nucleotide ribosomal RNA is filed under the name uncultured bacterium. RNAcentral describes it as "bacterial SSU rRNA". It matches the Rfam family "Bacterial small subunit ribosomal RNA", at positions 28 to 404 of the family's 1533-position model. The record is from RNAcentral.